AUGAUCAGCCUCAUCUUCGUCGGCGUCCGCCUGGAGCAGCAGUUCGGAUUCUGGAAGGUCGGCCUGGUCUACCUCUUCUCGGGGCUGGGCGGGAGCGUGCUCUCGGUGCUCUUCAUCAGGAAUGGCGUCUCCGUCGGCGCCUCCUGCGCGCUCUUCGGCCUCCUCGGGGCCAUGCUGUCGGAGCUCAUCACCAACUGGACCAUCUACACCAACAGGCUGGCGGCCAUGGCGAACCUGAUAAUCAUCGCCGCCAUCAACCUGGCGCUGGGGAUACUGCCCCACGUCGACAACUUCGCGCACAUCGGCGGGUUCCUCACCGGCUUCCUCCUCGGCUUCGUGCUGCUGAUCCAGCCCCGGUUCGGAUGGCUGGAGCAGCCCUUCGGCGGCAAGACCAAGUCCAAGUACACGGCUUGCCAGAUCGUCCUCCUGGUCGUCGCCCUCCUCCUAGCCAUUGCAGGGCUUGCCGUAGGGUUGCUGAUGGUGUUCCGCGGGGUGAACGGCAACGACCAUUGCAGCUGGUGCCACUACUUACCUGCGUCCCGACGUCGCACUGGAAGUGUGACAACUAAUAAAAAAUAA
This 579-nucleotide ribosomal RNA is filed under the name Triticum aestivum (bread wheat). RNAcentral's name for it is "partial small subunit ribosomal RNA". The record is from RNAcentral. Lineage: Eukaryota; Viridiplantae; Streptophyta; Magnoliopsida; Poales; Poaceae.